Molecule: RNA transcript, 1280 nt
Organism: Phodopus roborovskii (desert hamster)
Lineage: Eukaryota; Metazoa; Chordata; Mammalia; Rodentia; Cricetidae
Gene name: fumarylacetoacetate hydrolase domain-containing protein 2A
Exons: 9
Source: RefSeq, a predicted model, not a curated record
CCUGGAGAAGAACUGCUGGGUACUUGGAACCGGACUGGCUGUGGCUUCUCCGCCCUUGGCCUGUGGCCUUGCAGGUGUCAUCUGACAGCUUAAGACGCCGGGAGGGUCCGGCUGCAGCGGCCAGGCUUUGAUGCUGGGCUCUGGUAGAAGGAGAUUGUUCUCAGCUCUGCUGCAAGUUCAGAAGAGGCCCUGUCAGCCCUCUAGGGACAUGAGACUGGUACAGUUCCAGACACCCCACCUGGAGCAGCCUCACCUGGGCCUGGAGGCAGGGAUUGGUGGGGGAGUCAUAGACCUAAACACUUUUGACCCCACACUUCCCAAGACAAUGAUGCAGUUCCUGGAGCAGGGAGAGACUACCCUCUCGGUGGCAAGAAGAGCCCUGGCUACACAGUUGCCAGUCCUGUGUCGGUCACAGGUGACCUUCCUGGCCCCUGUCACCCGGCCAGACAAGGUGGUAUGUGUGGGCAUGAAUUAUGCAGACCACUGCAAAGAACAGAAUGUGCGGGUGCCCAAGGAGCCCAUCAUCUUCAGCAAGUUCUCCAGUUCUAUUGUGGGGCCCUAUGAUGAGAUCAUCCUCCCACCGGAGAGUGAGGAGGUGGACUGGGAGGUGGAACUGGCCGUGGUCAUUGGAAAGAAAGGCAAGCACAUCAAGGCCACAGAUGCCAUGGCUCACGUGGCUGGCUUCACUGUGGCCCAUGAUGUGAGUGCUCGGGACUGGCAAAUGAGACGCAAUGGAAAGCAGUGGUUAUUGGGAAAAACUUUUGAUACUUUCUGCCCCCUGGGCCCUGCCUUGGUUACCAGGGACAGCAUAGCAGAUCCACACAAUUUAAAGAUCUGCUGUCGAGUGAACGGGGAGGUAGUCCAGAGCAGCAACACCAACCAGAUGGUGUUCAAGACUGAAGAGCUGAUAGCCUGGGUCUCCCAGUUUGUCACUCUCUAUCCAGGGGACAUCAUCCUGACGGGGACUCCUCCAGGUGUUGGUGUGUUUAGGAAGCCUCCUGUCUUUCUCAAGAAGGGUGACGAAGUCCAGUGUGAGAUUGAAGAAAUUGGUGUCAUUGUCAACAAGGUGGUGUGAUGACAUCCCUGUAAACACUGGACUUGACACAAAGGUGGGACUUCUGCUCCCACAAAGCUCACCGCUGCCCCUGCCCACUUGAGGUGCUCUUAGAUGAACUGUCGGAUAAAUUGUUCCAGCUUGUCCUGGUUGUCCCGGCUGGCAAAUGUAGGGGACAGAUGGAGCUGGGGUCCUGUAGGGCUGGGCAUCUGCUGUAGUACCUGAC